UUGUUUAAGCGACUGCCUUCGGCUCAGUUCAUGAUCCUGGAGUCUCCGGAUCGAGUCCCGCAUCGGACUCCCUGCUCACACCCCUGCGAUUUCCCCAAAUGUGGGAAACUCGACUGCAUAAUUUGUGGUAGUGGGGGACUGCGUUCGCGCUUUCCCCUG
Leptonychotes weddellii (Weddell seal) is the source of this 159-nucleotide non-coding RNA. Lineage: Eukaryota; Metazoa; Chordata; Mammalia; Carnivora; Phocidae. The record is from RefSeq and is a predicted model, not a curated record.